Non-coding RNA from Acanthosepion pharaonis, 110 nucleotides. The record is from the annotation of a GenBank genome assembly. Lineage: Eukaryota; Metazoa; Mollusca; Cephalopoda; Sepiida; Sepiidae.
UUACGAUCAUCUCACGCUGAAACCACCAGUUCUCGUGCGAUCACCGAAGUUAAGCAGCGUUAAGCCUGGUCAGUACCUAAAUGGGUGACCGCUUGGGAAUAUGAGGUGCU